RNAcentral lists this ribosomal RNA (400 nucleotides) under Parageobacillus thermoglucosidasius TNO-09.020. Its description in RNAcentral is "bacterial SSU rRNA". It matches the Rfam family "Bacterial small subunit ribosomal RNA", at positions 8 to 396 of the family's 1533-position model. Lineage: Bacteria; Bacillati; Bacillota; Bacilli; Caryophanales; Anoxybacillaceae. The record is from RNAcentral.
AGAGUUUGAUCCUGGCUCAGGACGAACGCUGGCGGCGUGCCUAAUACAUGCAAGUCGAGCGGACCGGGCGGGAGCUUGCUUCCGCCUGGUUAGCGGCGGACGGGUGAGUAACACGUGGGUAACCUGCCCGUAAGACCGGGAUAACUCCGGGAAACCGGGGCUAAUACCGGAUAACACCGAAGACCGCAUGGUCUUCGGUUGAAAGGCGGCUUCGGCUGCCACUUACGGAUGGGCCCGCGGCGCAUUAGCUAGUUGGUGAGGUAACGGCUCACCAAGGCAACGAUGCGUAGCCGGCCUGAGAGGGUGACCGGCCACACUGGGACUGAGACACGGCCCAGACUCCUACGGGAGGCAGCAGUAGGGAAUCUUCCGCAAUGGACGAAAGUCUGACGGAGCGACG